GAAAAUGCGAGGGUAGAGUCCGUGUGGACCCGGACAGAUUUCACAUAAAAAAAAACAAAUAAAAUCAUAUUAGCACGUGAGAAAUCAAAAGAAGGUGGCAAGAUAAAAGUAAAUAUAAAGAUAAAAUAAAUAAUGCAUGCUAAUUUGAUCAUUGGCAACGCAAACUUAAACAAGAAUUUUUAAAAGGAAAACCGAUUAAGAACUAACAUUUCUCAUAUCUACAGUAAUAGAUAAUGAUGGGGGAAAAGGGUCAAAGGAAAAUUAAUGUCCUUUUCUAGAAAUCAACGAUGCAA
This 293-nucleotide long non-coding RNA is filed under the name Solanum tuberosum (potato). RNAcentral describes it as "long non-coding RNA (STUB_LNC010325)". The record is from RNAcentral. Lineage: Eukaryota; Viridiplantae; Streptophyta; Magnoliopsida; Solanales; Solanaceae.